UUAUGAUUUCUAAUAUCUAAGAUGAUAUCUAGUCUUAUAUCAAGAUACCAAUAUAAUAUUGAUAUAUUGCCCAGCCCUGCUAUAAAUUAACAGUAUGUGUCACAGGUGUGCAGUUAUCCGGUAUUUAACAACAGUUUGGGAUAUUAGCCAGCCAAAUAUAAGUGUGAACUGUGGUAAAAAGCUGUUUAAGAACUGCUAAAAGUCACAGGGUGCAGUUGUAGCCUGAAGACACAUUAUAAAGCUCGCUGUCCAUUUCCAGUAAUUCACCUGUCAGUCAAACUGAGGGGGCAUUUUAACGACAGCAACAGGUGUCUGCCGCCAGAGCCAAAAGAGCAGAAACUGUCUAUCAACUGCGGCGACGAAGGUAAAACUGAACAUAUUUGAGUAGUUUAAACAACAAGUCGUGUUUAAUAAACGCAAAGCAACCGGUUGGGUGAGUUAAUCCCACUCCCGUGACCCGGCGGCUCGGAAUACUUGAGUCUCUCUUUAAUUCAGCGUCACCGUUCAAACACCGACGAAAUACACUAAAGUCCCUCCGCUAACCGGCACCUCGUGAUUUAGUUUAACAGUUCGUCCAUUUCAAGACAAAAAAGUUGGUCAAAGUAAAGUUUUCAUGUCUGCAAGAACUCACCUUGGGACUCGGGAGGAGAUGCGUCGCUGCCAUCCUGGUCCGCCAUUUCUCCUGACGUCAGCUGAGAGGGAUCAACGGCAGGCAGCCGGAGCGACCUGCUGGAAAGAUCCCGAGACACUACCGGGCACCCUCCUACGGACAGUAAAAUGGCUACAGAUUGGCGCAGGGAGAACUGCAACCAUAGCAACCAGCUGUUUGGCAAUUCCACUGAUGGAGGAGGUGGAGGGAGGAGAUAUUGGCCUACAAACCCCUCCAGACAAAGCCACCUUCUGCUCCUCUUCUUUUUGUUUUUGUGGCUAAUGUCUGUUCUGUUUUUUUAUUGUUGUAUGUUGUUUGUGUCAGAAGCCAAGAAGGUUAAACAUGAGGUACAGAGUUAAAGUCAGUAGGUGGUGAUUAAGCUUGGGGAGACCUUCAGGGUCAGAUGUGUUAUGUGUUCACAUGUGCAGGAUGAAAGCCUCUCCAAACUGUCUGUAAUUGGUUCCCAUGGGAUUGGGAUCUUGGGAUUCUCCCCUCACAGAAACAGCGCUUUGAUGGCUCAUCAAUAAAUCCACAUCAUGAAAAUAUACACACUGCAUUGCAUGCAUAGACAGUAUAUAUAUGUGUACAGUAUAUCGUUGCUGCCCUGAAGUGAGGAAAGACACAGAAUGAUUGUGUGUGUCUGCUUGACCUAAAUGUGUACAAGAUUUGAAGGGAAUUGAUGUCACACAUUUCCACUUUGGGAUGCUGAUCCUCCGUUGAUUAACGCUCAGGGCUCUUCAUGAAAGACCACAAUCAAGUAAGGAUGGGGGCGUGCUUCUGGGGAAUAAGCAGAUCGAGGAACUGAUUGAUUUUGAGGACAAGCUGCCUCUUUGCUCUUCACUGGUUCAUUUGGAUUAAUUUGUGUGCAUUGCACGGCCCUGCAGAAAUCAGGGUGGGGGUCAUAUAAGUUUUCAGAUUAAGCAGGCAGGUUUAACAAGCAGGAUAAACAAUCCAAGGAGAAAGUGUAUCUUUUUAUAUGUAGAGGGCUCUGGUACUAAAGCCCCUUAAAUCUUGGUUUCAAAUCUUAAGUCUUUCUAUAUGAUAUUAAAUAUCCAUGAGCAACAAAAAUGACCAACAACGUUUCAGUUUGGGGAAAAAAACAUCCAUAGGUAUAUUUAUUAUGAGUUUAACAGUCAAAACCUCAUCAUAUUUGAUUGCUGGUGGCCUGGCAACAUAAACAAACAGUCAGAUUCAGUUUUUUUUGUUGUUGUUUAUUUUUUUAAAGCUAAAUCCUGAUUGGUGCAUGCAUGUAUCUCACCUUUUUCCAACUCAGCCACUCACUUCAAACCUAUGAGCACAGACAAAAACACAAAAUUCUUAAUAUGAAAUAAUCAAAACGGAACAUUUUGUGCUCAUCUAGGGCCACAUCGCUCAUAGUGAGAAGCUGGAUGAGAAAAUAGUCUUGUAGAGCCUUUAAAGUUUUUGAAAAGGGCACUAUUCUUUAACUAAAGCUUUAACUAAGGUAAAUCACCAAAAUCGUUGUUGAGACUACCACCACUGAAAAUUUCAUUUAAAAAAAAUCAGAUCAAAUCAAAUUAGUUUUGAUACAUCGUCAUGUUGAGGUUUCUUGGGUGUAUAAACUUUCCUAUUUGUAUUUAUAACUGUACGAGACCAUUGAAGCAUGCUCUACCUGUAAUUGCAAUAUUUGUGGGAGCAGUUGAAGGCAGCAGAGCAGCUAAUAAUGUGUUGUAGAACACAGAGUGUAGAAAAUCUAGGAGAUAAUUAAGUAAACAAUGCAUAGGCUGCAAAAAUUAGUUUGCAACGGGCUUGUAGAGACAUGCUGCUAUACUGACGAUAGUAACACGUUGCCACCUACAAAAGACUCAUCUCAUCAACAGAAAAUGCAAGUAAACAGAUGUCAGUGCAGUGUCAAUAUCACUUUAGCGAUGGAUAUUCACAGCUUAUCUGCAAAUUUUCACACAACUUACAACCUUAAUAAUUUUCUUGAAUACAGAUACAUUAACAUGACGCCCGCAGAUGCUCCCAUGAAGAUAAAAUAACAUGUACUCUGGCAUUAAUAAUGAAGCACACUGCCAUGCAGAAUAACUGUUAAUGUUAUCUAGCAAUCCGCAUAAUGUAACAGUGCUUUCACAGCAGAGAUGAAGGCAGAUGAUUAACUACAGCAGGGACCCAGAGAGGUUAAUUGUUACUGCCAUGAUUGCACCACACUGUACAGCAUAUAUUUAUAUAAUCUGGACUUGUUUUUCACUCCUGUCUCUUUAUCUUAUCACUUUUCCUUUAAGACUGACUCCGUCUGCCUCGACCUCUGUCUCUCUCACUACUUUUGUCUCUGUCGCACUGUCUCUUUAUCCUCUUAUUACCUUUUAAGCAGCAGACAGCACCAUCUCUCCCUAGCAACACGUCAUUCAUGUCAUUGAUUUGACAACUGAGACCGGUUUCUUCAGCCUCACUGAUGUCAUUCAUUAAAAAAACACAGAAGCGAUUCGGAGGAUUCAUGCUCCUUUUAUUGGUCAUUGUUUUAUUAUAAGAAGAUGUAGGUCAGUCUUUUUAAAAAAAACAACAACGUAUUCUUCAAGUACAGAUUAAAUAUUAACUAUAGUUUGCAAAUCUAAACCCUUUCUCUCCUGUUGUACAAUGCUGUUGUUCAUGUCGGAUGUUGUUUGUUCACUUGUAAGAGACUAACCAUGUAGUCUGUGUUGUUUUGGUAGCAUAAUGUUAAUAACCUCUUUAAUUAUCUCUGUCUCUGCAUAAUUCACUAGAAACAGAUGGCAUAAUGGAGAAUGAUCUGAACUCACUCCCUGCAGAAAGACAGAUCCCCCACCAGGAACUCCCCCCAUGUCGUCUAAAUAGACUUGCCUUGCCUUCGGCACACACUUACAAAAACAUUACACCCACACAACAAGACAUUGUACACUGUAUCUAGGUAUGGUAUUCUUUACAGCUGACCUAUCUCAUCCCUCUGAGUAUGCACAUAAUGGGCCAAUCACAACAAGGAAAACAAACCUCAAAAACAAAGUAGUUCGUACACAAACAGGCCAGCAGACAUAUGGCUAUGUGACCCAAGUAAAUAGUGCUAUUAAUUCUAAAUCCCUGCAAUUAAUCCCUCGGGUGGUCACAGUGGUAUUGUCUGCACCGUGCUCAUAACAGCAGUGUUUACUGUCUGAUAUCCAGGCAUUUAUUGUGUUGGGUGAACAUACGGCCUGCUGAACUACAAGGCAUUAAAUACACGAGAUUUAGAUGGACUCUAUACUCAUCCCCACUGAUGUUGUCUAGUACUUUUCUAUUCUAAUGAUGUGGGAUAAUACAAAAAACAGUAAAUAAGAACUAAUAGUGUCUAUAUAAUCAUGUUUGACUUCUUAAGAAUCUUGUAGAUACAUUAUUAAUGUAAAACUAUCUAGUGUAUAAUAACUAAACAAAGGGGAUGGAAAGUAGGGCUCUUGUUCAAUCCUGAAACUGCAUAGUGAAUUAUGCAUCAUAAUAUUUCAUAAGUUAAUUAGUACAAUACAAUGGCUACCAUAUUACUUUGUUCACUCAAUCAUCUACCAUGAGUAAUCACACAGCAGUUAACUAAAAUAAAUGAUAGUAUAAAGGAUUUGAUUCUUACUGAAACUGCUUCAGAUGGCUGCAUAAAGGCAAUCCCGACAUCUUCAGUCAGAUCUAUUGUGUAUAUUUGCCUCCAGCGGUAGUAGUAGUAGUAAUGGUAGUAACUGUAGAAAUGGUCAGGGUUGGCAACAAAGUCUGUAAACUUGUACACGCCUACAUCUUUUUCUGCAUGAAGUGCAUGAGUUGUAACAUUUAUGUCUGGAGUGCUGGAAAAUUGAAUGGGCUCAGUGUAGUGAAAUUAACAAGAUUUCCCACGAGAUGCACUGCAGGUUUUGCUCCACACACACACACGCACACACACACAUACACACACACACACACGCAAGCUGUGUAAGUGGAACACGUGCAUGUGUGUUAUAUAGUAUUUAUAAAGUGAAGAAUGAAGGUUGUUUCCAGGGAUUUAGAUGUACUUGAAGUUGGAAAAGGAUAAAAUAUUUAGUAAAACUCUUGCUGGUUACACAAAAUUACUUAAUUUGGGUAACCUUACUUUUUAUUAUUAUUAUUGUUUCUAGUAAUGUUCCUGUCUAGUGCAGGUCUAGUGUGCAGAGUAAACACAGCCCUGUAUCAUGGAGGUGACAGAAGAAAACAUCACCCCCCCUUUCUCUUUCUCUCUCUGUCUUGGUAAUAAGUGAUGCUGUAUGGCUGAAUUGCCUGUCAUGUGAACGAAUGAGCGGGCUCCAGCAGCGUGACAUGUCGCCUCAGUAAUUUAUCUGAUGCUGCGGUUAGGUUCCACAGCAGUGGAGACAAGAUGAGAUCUACUGUAUCUUCCAGUUGUAGGGAACAGGGGAGACGCUGCUGGUGUUGCCCCCCAUCUCUAAUCUCUCUCUUUACCUCCCCAGUCAUAUGUAGUGUCUGUCUGUCUUUUUCUAUUUUCAAUAUGAUCUCCCUCUCUCUCUAUGUCUUGGCAUGAUGAAUCCCUGUAUCCACAAGGGAGAGGGGUAGAAGUAGUAGAAGAGAGUAGGAGGGCGGAGAGGAAUAUAUAGGAUCAAGAAGGAGAAUGGGAAAAUGAAGAGGGGGAUGGGAAGACAUAAAAUUUACAGUAGAGUUUGCAGGGCUAUUUCACAUAAGUAGAUAUGCUGUAUUGCUUGAAAAUUUGCAGUGGCUUCAACAGUAUAAACAUAAAUUUGAUAUUAGCUCAUAAAAAUGGCUCCCCCUCACACUUGCCAAUCUCCUUUUCAUUUCAAAAAUCCUUCCUUCUGUCAAACUUCUAUUCACAUCGGUUCUGAUUUUCCGAAACAUGACCGACAGUGACUUGAGGACUCUGCUGGUGUGAGAUUUGCUGGUGUGCAGCCAGCUGACUGGCACGCUGGCGGGGGGAAGCUCCCGUCCUUAACUAUUCUCCUCACAUUCACCUUGCAGUCCCAAUUAUUCAAGGCAGCGUGCACGAGCGCUCCCUGCCAGCCAGCCCCAGCUGUGAAAAGUGGGUCAUGGAAUUUAAAGGCGCACACAGCAUUUGUUGCACUGCACAGUCGCUGGCACCGCUUUGGCUUUCUGUUCCUCACCAACGCGCAGCAGCAGUAGAUGUACAACUCUGUGUCCUGCAGUGAAAUCUACAACUACAACAAAUCCACAACUGCUACUGCGCAUUUAACAGAGCAAAUUAAAUCAAGGCUCAAUAAAGGAGGAGUAGUUGGUGCUGUAUUUUUAGAUCCGCCUAAAGCAUUUGAUACAGUCAAUCUUGAUUUUCUAACAUCAAGACUCUAAAUUUAACUUCUCAUCUAGA
Molecule: long non-coding RNA, 5936 nt
Organism: Thunnus maccoyii (southern bluefin tuna)
Lineage: Eukaryota; Metazoa; Chordata; Actinopteri; Scombriformes; Scombridae
Exons: 3
Source: RefSeq, a predicted model, not a curated record